CCUGCUCAUUUCAGUGGUAUUUGUGCUGCUGCUGGGGUGUUCUUUGCUUCUCUGGACAGUGCUAGCGUCAACCGUCGCUGCUCAGCUGUGCUUCUUCUCCACAUUUGAGCACCGUGUGGAUGUCAUCUGUUCGGCGGGAGCCUGGCUACCCUUCUCGGUGAUGACUGUGAUGUAGCUAUGCAUGUUCCCUGGCGGAUUUUGACUCUAAUCUCCACCUGGUGACAGGACCCUGGACCUAAAUAUUCUAGUCUGUGCACACUCUGUAACACAGUUAGCCAUGCUGGAAGCAGCUCAAUAGUGAGUGGCACUGAGUGGAAAACCAUAGUUUUUCUAGGCUCCUAUCAAAAGACUGACAUGUUCGUGUUACAAUGAGAAACUGAGAGGGUAAGUAGUAAUACUAAGUAAGACUGAAGGGGCCAAAGUGCUUGUAUUGGUAACCGAAGAGAAGAGCCAUCCUGUCAGUAGGUUGGCAGCACCUGAGACAGCCAGGCCUUGAGGAUGACUAGCUUAUUUAGGCGUAGCAGCAGCAAUGGAGGCUCCAGAAGCAGUGGAGGUGGCAGUAGCAGUGGACAGGGGCAGCUCAACAACAGCAGACCCAACCGGCAGGUCAGACGCCUUGAGUUCAACCAGGCUAUGGAAGACUUUAAGACCAUGUUCCCCUCUAUGGACUACGAGGUGAUUGAGUGUGUGCUGCGUUCCAACAACGGAGCAGUGGACGCCACCAUCGAUCAGCUGCUCCAGAUGAGCAUUGAUGGACAGGGCUCAGAAGACAGCUCGGACUCAGAUGACAGCAUCCCACCAGAGAUUCUGGAGCGUACCAUGGAACCUGACAGUUCAGAUGAAGAACCCCCUCCAAUUUACUCUCCGCCAACAUAUGACAUGCACAUUUAUGACAGGAAAUAUCCAGAAGACCCACCAAACCCCCCUCCACGAUUUGAAGGCCAAGCUCCUCCCAGUCAGCAGCAAGUCAGAAGCUAUCGGAACUGGAACCCACCUUUGCUUGGAAAUCUCCCAGACGAUUUUCUGCGUAUUUUGCCACAACAGUUAGACAGCAUUAAGCAGAGCUCUCAGAACAGUCUCUCUCAGCCGUCAUCAUCCUCAUCCUCCUCAAUUUCUUCAGCAAGGCAAUGGACAGCUCAGUCUGGUUCUGGGUCGGUAGCUGCAGGGACCACUGGAGGUUCAGGUUUGUCAACAGGAGCUACAGAGCAAGACAAGAAACUGAAGCAGUAUCUGGAGGAUGAGCGCAUCGCCUUGUUCCUGCAGAACGAGGAGUUUAUGAGAGAGCUGCAGCGCAACCGCGAGUUUCUCAUUGCCUUAGAGAGAGAUCGCUUGAAGUAUGAAUCAAAGAAAUCAAAGUCCAAUCAUUCAUCUAGCAUGGAGAGUUCCACAGGAGAGCAGUACUUUGCCACUUCAAUGGAGGCCAUCUCAGAUGACGCGCUGUUCAGAGACAAACUCAAACACAUGGGAAAAUCAACACGAAAGAAGCUGUUUGAAAUUGCCAGAGCAUUUUCUGAAAAAACAAAGAGGAGAAAGACAAAAAGGAGGACGCUCCUGAAACAUCACUCAUUGGGCACAGCCAACUCUACAGCCAAUCUCCUAGACGAUGUAGAGGGAAACACCUGUGAGGAAGAUGGUCAACCUAGAAGAGCACACACUCAGGAAGAGACUGAAGAACGCAAUGAGCCAGUAUCGUGGUAAGAUACUGCUCAGUCAUUUGAAAGGGAAGGAACCACUUGUUCAUGGAAUUAGAGAUCCUCCCUUGCUGCACCAUAUCAGGGUUACCAUGGUGACAACAGCCUGACCCAUGGGUGGUUGCUUUGCAGCUCUUCCUGUCCCCACCUGCUCACCCCACCCUAAUCCAACCAGUUGAUAUAAGGCUCGGCAAUGAGUUGAGACUUGCACCCCCCACCCUCCUUCUGGGGGAGAGGAACUGGACUGUUCUCAGCAUUGGACUAAUUGUCUGUAAAUGCAUUAGCUCUGUAUUAUAACACUUUGUGGAUAUAUAGUUUUAAAUGUAGAGGAAAAUGCAUUAGUCCUAACAGUAUUUGGUAACUGCUUCCCUUCAUCAACUGAGAGGAACACUAGCGUAGUGAUUAUUUUUCCAUAUUUACCUGUGUUUCUUUUCCAGACCUCACAGUAGCAGACAACAUGUUUCUGGAUGGGGUCCCUCAGGCAGGGCAUUUCAAAUCCAAAUUGUGCACAUGCCCCUUUAUAUACACUAAACCAUGUAGAGCUUUUUUACCAUGUUUUCUUAAUCAAAUUGGAAUAUUUUGCUGAUUUUGAAUGUUCGGUUUUAUGUAACUGAAUUUCUUAAACAUGUGAAUAAUGAGGCCAUUAAAGCUGUUGCUGCCCAAAUGUCAACGCUUCACCGUGACCCUUUUGACAUUUAAUAGACUCUGUUCUUAGAAAGCAUGAAUGCUACAUUGUUUAGAGCAGUUUAGAGCAGUUUGCUUUGUUUGGCAAGAUGAAAAAAAAUCUUAUUUAUAUUGUUAAUUAUUGUAGCAGCACUACAAGUACAGUUGCACAGUUGUUGUAAGCUGUGUGUCAUAAUAUUGAACCAGAGUUUCAGACUGAGCAAGCAUGGGUAUCAUGCCCAGGAAAACAUGACCUUUGUGACUGAGUUUUGAAAAGCAAACAGAAUGAGUGUGGACAACUUUAAAGCCCCGGUACACAAGGAAUUAGUAUUUGAGUGCUGUCCGACCAAGUCUAAAGGCAAAUGUGUGUACAGAUGUUUUCUAGAAGGUGUGGAAGUAAAAAGGAUUUCAUUAGAGGUUACCUGUGCAUGUGUUGGACUUGUUCAUGCGAAAGGACAGAAGUAGUUGUGUGAGAAAACUAAACUUGAGAGGGAUUAAAACACCUCCACACUAGAGCUCUUUAUGGGUCUGCUCAGUGCUGAGGAAGAGCAAAAUCCCAACCUGGUGCCUCAGUUGGACUCCAAAUCAUCCUCAGUUUUAUUAGAUUAAGUAGGGUCUAAUUUUACUGCCAUGUGUUGUAUUGUACUGUCAGUAUGUCCAAUUCCUGAGUUCAUCUGAAUGUACCAGAGCAAGCUCAGUAUCAUUGUCAUCAUUCAUUCAUGUCUGAUAUUUUUUACAAAAGGUAGAAACAGAGCUGAAUUUCUGUUAGUUUAGAAUGGCUCAUUAUUGUUAUUAUUAUAUUGCUGAUGUUUCUGUUCUCUCUCUGGGUUUGGGUUCGGCUGUGUUCAGGUCCCUCUCAGAUGAAGGCUCUCCUUUUUUGUAAAUGAAAACAUGUAUGUCUUGUCUGGGUAGGUUUUCCCUGGGUGUGUAUUGGUGAAAACCUCUCUUCCACAUAGCUGACUGGAUCACUGUGUCAAGUGAGUGACCACAAGAUUCUUAGUUCAGAAACGUUCAAAAAUUGUCACAUGCUGCCUGCCCAGUGCUAUCAUCAGACACGUGGAGUCACAUGCAGUGUCAGAAGUAGGGAUGGGCAUCGUAAAGAUUUUAACAGUACUACUACUUUAACUGAUACUGCUUAUAGAUCCAGUACUUUAAUGGUAUUUUUUUCUGUACUUUUCGAUUGUUUCUGUUGGUUUGUUCUGUUUCUUAAAGAGAAAAAAACUAAACAAAUUAAGAACAGAAUAAAGAGUGCUUAAUUUUCUCAUACGUACUGUAUUUAAAUUAAAAGAUGGUCAGAGUACUGUAGACAGUGUCACAGGUUUUACUCACAAAAUAAAAUAAUCUGCAGUCUGUUUCAUUAUACUGUCCAGCAUUAAAUGACAAUUUAAAGCUCCACCUUGAACAGAUAUUAAGUAAAUGUCAGUACAUUGUGCUGGUAAAACCUGUUCCACUCUUCACUUUUGAGCAUAAAAAGAAUGCAGGACUUUAUACUGUAUACACUAUUUUUACUGUGUGAUUUUAAUAGUGAAGAAAACAGUUGAAGUACUUCUACCACCAACACCAAUAUUCAGUCAGAGAAACUGAAAAUAAAGUCAGAGUUUGUCUGUAGCCCUCAAAUCAUCCUGCUGCUCAGUUCUGAACAACAGAUCAGAUGAUGCUCUGACUUUCAGACUGAAUUUAUGAACACAGACAGUUUAACAAACAGUUGGCAAAUGCUACCUUUUAAUCACAGUUUAGUUAGUGUGGACUAACAUACCUGGUUAGUAAGGGAUGAACUAUGAGCUCAGCAAUCAAACGGAGCGUUUCUCCGUCUGUAUGUGAUGAACUUUGACUGGAAGUUUCCACAGUUUCUGCUCUGACAUGCAAACAACGUGUUACUUUUGUGGCAACAAACAUUUUGUGCAUCAGCUGUCGUGAACUUUAAUCAGACUACUGAACGUUGGUCACCUGUUUGUGCUGCACAGAGCUGCAGGUGAGUGAUGGAGAGGCUCCGCCCCUCAGACACCAGGAGUUCUGUCUGUCUGAACUACAGGCUGCAACAGACAGAACUCUGUUUUAGAUCUAGAAAGCUGAAGUGCAUCAUGGACACUUACAUGUCAGAUACAUGUCUUAUGGUGAGCAGACAGAAUGUGUAACACAACAAUCUUCUUACUUUCUAAAGUACCGUUAGAACCAUUACUAUUGGAGCUUAUCGAUCCUCUGUUAUUUAAAAUAUCGCACCAGGGUUCGUUUAAUAUGGGUAUAACAGGCCAGACUAACCCCCAGCCAAAGUACCUGUUGACACAGAGGUGAAGCGUGUUAAACUCUGAAUUGUUAAGUCAUUUAUUUAUUUAUUUAUUUUUUUAACAGAGGUAUGCUCAGCAAGCAAAUCAUUCUGAAAGAACAUGACUAGAAUGUCCUUGAGCUAAUUACAAUUAAGAUAGUUCAAAUCAAAAGGAAAAACUGUAACUGAUAAAAUUAUGCUGUAAGCGAAACAUUUUCAAAGAAGAUCAACAUUGGCUGUUAAUUUCAGUUGUUGUAGAACUGAUUUCAGUAUAAUAUCUGUGUUACCUUUGUGUUUAGCUUAAAUUAAGAUUGGCUUGAUUUGUGCUCCAUAAAUAAACCAUUACAUCAGCACAAUGUCUCAUGGUAUAUUUUGCCUAAAAUCCAUCCAUCCAUCCAUCAUCUAUACACCGCUUAAUCCUCAUUAGGGUAGCUGGGGAGCUGGAGUCUAUCCCAGCUGAUUUAGGAUGAAGGCAGGGGAUACCUGGACAGGUAACAGUCUAUCCCAGGGCUAAACAAUCACACUCACACCUACAACCAAUUUAGAGUCACCAAUUAACCUCAGCAUGUUUUUUGGACUGUGGGAGGAAUCUGGAGUAACUGGAGAAAACCCACGCAUGCACAGGGAGAACAUGCAAACUCCAUGCAGAAAGAUCCCUGGCCGGGACGUGAACCAGGGAUCUUCUAGCUGCGGGGCAACAGUGCUAACCACCGAGUCACUAUGCAGCCCUAUUUUGCUUUAAAGGUUUGAUUUAAUUUCAUCAGUUUGUGCUUAAAUUAAGAUAAAGUUGAUUUGAUGAUGUAAUCUCAUAUUACAUGGGAUGUACUGUAGCCUGGAAGGAUAUAUUCUGGGGUAGGCUAAUUCAGCCCCCAGGGUAUAAAUUGGGCUGAGCUAAACUAUCCUUUGGCCGGGGGUUUAAUCUGGCCUGUUGCACACAGAUCAAGACGAUCUUAGUUUAAGUACAAAUCAAAGACAAUAAAGAGAUAUUAUACUGAAAUCUGUUGUACAGAAACAAUUGAAAGCAACACCAGCCAACGUGGAUGUUCUUUCAUAAUGUUUUGUUUAAAGUUUUCUUUGUUUUAAAUUCAGUUUUUCCUUUUGAUUUGAACUAUUUUAAUUAUAAUUAGCUCAAGUAUAUUCUAGUUAUGUUCUUUCAUAAUGAUUUGCUUGCUGACUAUACCUCUUUGUAAACACAAAAAAACUAAAUUAGGUAAAAAUUAAGAGUUUAACACACUUCAUCUUUGUGUCAACAGGUGUAAACAGUCUGAAGUAUACCCUGGGGUAUACUCUGGCCUCUUACACCAGGACUCGGUACCCAUAGCAUAGUUGGACAUUUAGAGCAAUAGCAUAUGGUUGUCCUACCUGCAGACCUGUUCCUCUUUCAGGUGCUUGCCACCACAGCAUUAAUCUAACUUUGAUGAAAAUAAAAUGAGUAUGAUGCCCAGUGUGGCUGAAUUACCUGCCUGCUAUUUUCAUAUUGUGGUGGCUACAUUCUGUAAAGACCGCAAACCUGUGGAUGCCUGGAAGGGAAGAACAGCUUCAUAUGUGUCUGCAUGGUGGGAAGCCAGUGAGAGUUGUCAGUUGUGUUGCUGCAGUAGUGACUCCUGCUGGUUGUUUGGUCUCACCAUAGAGACAACCCCACCACAUGGUGAUGCCUGUUGCUGGUACAUUGCGGAAUAAAAAAUUAGACUUGAGACAAUGUCUCACACAGCAUCCCUUCAUAGGACAGCACUACAGUGCUUGCUAAAAGAAAGUGUAGCAUCAAAUUGGAUACCAUUUUCAAUGAAUGCUGACAAACAUAGACCCUUGUGUUUUUAAGUGUGUCAUGUUGGUUGUGAAUUUUUGAACUUCACUGUAUUUUUUUCUGUUCUAACUUCUGUUCUUACCUAUUGAACCAAACUAGGAGUCUCAGAUUUGCUGCUUUAGACAUGUCCACAGAUGUCAACUGCUUCAUUUAACAUGUUGCUUAUAUUUUGUCAGGUUUCCAGAAUUCUUGCAAUGAACCAAAACUACAUUUUUGAGAUGUUAUGAAAAUGAUAUCACUCCGAGAUGACUUUGCCAUAUCUUUGAGUAAAUCAAAGCUUUGUUAUCCUGUCUUUUCUAAAUUCUACAUUUUUAAAUGCCAGUGUGUAAUGACUGAACAGUGGCAUCAUGUAUAGUGAAAUAAUUAAUGGUUGUGAUUUCCACGUGAAUGAUGGGAGGAUAUUGUAUGUGAAUUUUGACUGAUAAAGCAACAACAGAAAAAGUGCUUGCAAGGUUUGGAUCUGCCUUUUUUUACAGAUCGUUUUUAAUUCUAUGUGUACAUGUAAAACUAGCAUAAAUGUAAAAGUAGUCAUAGUCUAAUUUAGCCUUUGUAAGCAGGAAAUGUGUGCUGUGUGUAUGAGAAACUUUACAAUGCCAUGCUUCCAAGAAAACUGCCUGAUUUGAAACUAGACACAUUAAAUGAAUUACAAGAAGUAAAAUCAAUUAAUUUUCUCACUUUGUGCAUCAAGGGGUUUAGAAAAUCUCCCCAAAUUAACCAUUCUGGAUUUGUAUUUUGAGUGUUGUUUAUCCCAUCAAUUAAAAUAUUUAAAUGUG
RNA transcript from Amphiprion ocellaris (clown anemonefish), 7194 nucleotides. It is a transcript of the gene named CUE domain containing 1b, with no coding region annotated. NCBI's taxonomy places the organism in Eukaryota, Metazoa, Chordata, Actinopteri, Pomacentridae. The record is from RefSeq and is a predicted model, not a curated record. The transcript has 12 exons.